This 421-nucleotide ribosomal RNA is filed under the name uncultured bacterium. Its description in RNAcentral is "bacterial SSU rRNA". It matches the Rfam family "Bacterial small subunit ribosomal RNA", at positions 367 to 803 of the family's 1533-position model. The record is from RNAcentral.
CGCAAUGGGCGAAAGCCUGACGGAGCAACGCCGCGUGAGGGACGAAGGCCUCUGGGCUGUAAACCUCUUUUCUCAAGGAAGAAGAUAUGACGGUACUUGAGGAAUAAGCCACGGCUAAUUCCGUGCCAACAGCCGCGGUAAUACGGGAGUGGCAAGCGUUAUCCGGAAUUAUUGGGCGUAAAGCGUCCGCAGGCGGCUUUUCAAGUCUGCUGUUAAAAAGUGGAGCUUAACUCCAACAUGGCAGUGGAAACUGAAAGGCUUGAGUAUGGUAGGGGCAGAGGGAAUUCCCGGUGUAGCGGUGAAAUGCGUAGAUAUCGGGAAGAACACCAGUGGCGAAGGCGCUCUGCUGGGCCAUUACUGACGCUCAUGGACGAAAGCCAGGGGAGCGAAAGGGAUUAGAUACCCCUGUAGUCCUGGCCGU